This is a long non-coding RNA of Cavia porcellus (domestic guinea pig), 612 nucleotides long. RefSeq lists it as uncharacterized. NCBI's taxonomy places the organism in Eukaryota, Metazoa, Chordata, Mammalia, Rodentia, Caviidae. The record is from RefSeq and is a predicted model, not a curated record. The transcript has 3 exons.
UGUCAUUUUCUCUUCCAGCGCCCCUGUCCCCCCACCCCCCGCCCGUAUUUCCCAGUUCCAGGUGGAUGGAAGAGGCGGAGGGUGAGAUGAUCCCGUGGCGUCUCCGCUCCGGGCCUUUUGAGCGGCCUCCCGGGGCCGUUCUACAACCUUGUGCUCAGAGGACGCAGUCUGCCCCUAUGGCUCAGAGUCUUGCUGAAACCUGGAGCUCAACAGCAGACAAAGCAGCAAACACGAAGAACCUGAAGCAGCCAGAGAGGAAGGUCAUAUGCAAGGUGCCAUAUGAAGGGCAGAGGAAGGUCACAGGUAGAGCUAGAAGCCAGAACCCAAACGCCUGCUGCUUCACCAUUUUCUCUGGAUCAAACUUUGUUACAGACAGAGGACGAGGGUUGACACAUAAACAUGGAAUAAAGUGAAAAAGAUUUACCUCCUCCUUUGCUGGAGUCAGGCCCAGCUACUUGGAUCUCGUGAGUCAUUUGCAGGAGUGGGAGGAGAGGUGGGCAUGUGUGCUGCGCUGCGAGUUCAGUCAAUAUUCUUCCUGUUUUCUUCUCUGUGAUUUUUGCUUUUUGUCAUCAAAAGUUACUGUAGUACAUAAAUAAGACUGAGACAUGCUAA